Molecule: unclassified non-coding RNA, 4061 nt
Filed under: Hevea brasiliensis (rubber tree)
Lineage: Eukaryota; Viridiplantae; Streptophyta; Magnoliopsida; Malpighiales; Euphorbiaceae
Source: RNAcentral
UUUCUCAACCAAAUGCAUGAAUUUCUUUAUCAAAUAUGGAAUUUAAGAAAUAAUAGUAGGCCAAUAGACUCAUUGUUUCAACCAGGUGCAUUACCAGAACAAAUGAAUCCAACAAAAUCUUUUACAUAUCCUGAUAUCCACUCCAAAAAUCAAACUGUAAGUCCCUUGAGGUACAUAAUUAGUAAAGUGUUUCUGCUGCCACGCUUCUAUCUUGAAUGAAACCAUCCUCUAGAUGCAGUUGUGGCCAUCCAAUUCAGUAAAAAACCUCAUGCUGCAUACUUGCCUCUCCUAAAGAAUUAUAUUCAAUUUGAAGCACAGAUUCCAUAGAUCACUGGUAGAAGGAUUGAACCAUAGUUGACUCUUCCAAUUUAAAAUGACUUGCAACCCUAAUUCCAAUGUGAUUAGAUGGACUAUCGGACACCUGCCUUAACAUUUUGAGAACCCAAAAUAACAUUUAGUAUUUUUCCUGGAACAAAGAUUCUUUUCUUGAUAGAUUUUCCAUCCAGAUGCUUGGAGAGUUUCUCAUCCUGUGAAGCUAAUCUGAAAGCAUCCUCCUCUGAACAUCCUUCUUCAACCUGUAUGGUACCCCUUGUCUUGCCAUUUAUCUGAACUGGUAGGACUAUAUAAGUAUCCUUCAGGUAAGCAGGAUUAGCCUCAGGAAAUGGUUCAUAUACCAAUGAAUUUGCAUGACCUAAUCGAAACCAAAGCUCCUCAGCUAUGUGAGGUGCAUACGGUGAGAGCAACAAAACAAAUGCUUCCAUAAUUGACCUUGGAAGUUUAUCCCACUGGUGAUAAAGGAAAAAAAAAAGGUGAUAGUUUAUGGGAAAACAGGAAUCAUGAAAUAAAACAGAAGACAUGAAUGGGGGAAAGGAUGAAGAGUGGGAAUUGGGAAAGAAUAAAAUGGAACAAAAGAUUUUAGUGAAAUCCUAAGAGUUGGAAUUUUCAGAAAAAAUCAUGGGAAAACCUUAUACGCAGCAUUAGUGAACUCCAUCAUUGCAGAAAUUCCAGUGUUGAACCGUGUCCCUUCAAUUUCCUCUGUUACCUGCAAAGCAAAAUCAAUUAGCCAGGCUCAUAACAGAACGGCAAAUGUCAAAAAGACUGUCGAGCUGGGAUGGAAUAUAGAUUGGGAUUAAGACUGUCAAGUUGACUAUAUGGAUGGAAUAUCCCUUUAAUGGAUAAAAUUACAAGAAGUGGACAAAAGAGGACAAAUAGGAAAAUAUAAAUAAACAAAUAUGACAGAUAUAACCUUUGCUAUGCAUUUAUGUAGAGUACGUAGUUGUUUGAAAGUUGGUUCAUCAUCAAUUGUCACUGUUCCAUCUCUAAAAGCACCAUUAGGUAAAGGUGGACCAACAAUCAGCCUCCAAGUUCUUCCCAAAAAUCGAUAUACACCUUCAAUACCACUAGUACUCCAUGUUUUUGAGUCUCUAAAUGGUCCCAUGAACAUUUCAUAUAACCUAAGAGAGUCUGCACCAUACUCGAAAACAACAUCAUCAGGAUUGACAACAUUUCCCCUACUUUUACUCAUUUUAUGAGCACGGGCAAUCAAACUAAUAUUAUGGUCAUCUUUCAGCACAAAGGAAUCCCCAGAUUUCAUCACCUUCUCCUCAGGAAUUAUUUCUUUAUGAAGUUCACCCAAUGCAUCAGCAGAAUCUGCAGACACAUAGUUUCCAUCUGGGUCCUUGCAGGCCAUAUAUUGAACUUCCCCAAGAAUGAUUCCCUGGUUUAUGACACACUUGAAGGGCUCUUUGGUUGACACAACACCGAUGUCAUAAAGCACCUUGUGCCAGAAUCUUGAAUAAAGCAAGUGGAGAACAGCAUGUUCAGCACCACCAACAUAGACAUCAACUGGACUCCAAUACAUUUCUUUUGUCUUAUUAACUAACUCUUCGGAAUUUUUUGGGUCCAUAUAUCUCAAAUAGUACCAGCAAGAACCAGCCCAUUGUGGCAUAGUGCUUGUUUCUCUUCUGGCAGGUUUUCCAGAUGAAGGAUCUGUAGUUUUAACCCAAGAAACAGCUUUUGACAGUGGCGGGUCUCCCGUCCCUGUGGGAGUGAAAUCAUCCAAGUCGGGUAAUUUAAGGGGCAAAUCAGCUUCAGGAAGUGGAACACCCUCACCAGUAUCCUCCAAGAAAACAACCGGGAUAGGUUCCCCCCAAUAACGCUGCCGAGCAAAAAGCCAAUCCCUCAACUUGUAAUUCACCUUUUUCUUCCCAUUUCCAGUUUUUUCAGCCCAUUCAAUGACUUUGGAAGCUGCUACUUUGCUAGGAAAGCCAUUAAUGUCAAGGCCCAGUGUUGAAUUUGAGGAAUUCAGUAUAGUGCCUUCACCUGCAUAAGCCAUUCCUGAAUAACAAGAAUCUUCACCAUCUGGUUUCACAACCCAACGAACUGGAAUAUCAUAUUUAGUGGCAAAUUCAUAGUCACGAGUGUCAUGUGCAGGUACUGACAUAAUUGCUCCAGUCCCAUAACUGCAACCAAAAAUUUUAUAACUCAAUUGCAUGAAAUAAAUAUUCUUCAAAUGCUUUGUAUUAACAGUUCCAUGACAUGAUUUAGACCACAUUCCAAGUAACAGGCCAAGGCAUUUCACUCUGGACAAAACACAUAUAAGAAAGUUGCAAGCAAAGCAUAUAUGCACCAGUCAAUAGAUAAUCCAUAAAAGGAGAGUAAAACCAAACACACUUUCCCAAAACAUAAUCUGCAAUCCAUAUUGGGAUUGAUUCCCCGUUAGCCGGAUUCCUUGCAUAGCAGCCGCUGAAGACCCCAAUUUUUUCCUUCUGAAGCUCAGUCCUCUCAAGAUCACUCUUACGUGAGGCAAGAUCCUUGUAUUCUUCCACACUUCUGCUCUGGGCAUCAGACACUAAUGAUGAAAGUAAAGAAUGUUCCGGUGCCACAACUAAAUAUGUUGCACCAAAGAUGGUAUCAGGCCUCGUGGUAUAAACAGUAAUUUUUAUAUCCCUUUCCUUUCCAUCCUCAUCAAGAACAUGAAAUUCCAUCUCAGCCCCUUCAGACCUCCCUAUCCAGUUCCUUUGCAUCUCUUUUACGCUUUCAGGCCAGUCAAGAGCAUCUAAGUCUUCAAGGAGGCGAUCAGCAUAAGCAGUAAUCUUGAGCAUCCAUUGCCUCAUUGGCUUUCUUAUAACUGGAUGACCACCACGCUCACUCACUCCAUCUACCACCUCCUCAUUGGCCAAAACCGUACCAAGAGCAGGGCACCAAUUGACUGGUACCUCAGCCUGAUAUGCCAAUCCUCUCUUCAAUAGCUGAAGAAAGAUCCACUGGGUCCAUUUAUAAUAUUCUGGUUCAAUAGUAGAAAUUUCUCGAUCCCAGUCAUAUGAGAAUCCCAAUGAUUUAAGCUGGAAUCGGAAGCGGUUGAUGUUCCUCAAUGUUGUAAUUUUUGGAUGUGUUCCCGUCUCAAUUGCAUAUUGCUCAGCAGGCAAACCAAACGCAUCCCAUCCCAUUGGGUGCAAAACAUUGUAACCCUGCAUACGUUUGAACCUAGCAAGAAUGUCUGUGGCGGUAUAUCCAAGAGGAUGUCCAACAUGUAACCCAGAGCCACUGGGAUAAGGGAACAUAUCAAGUACAUAGAACUUAGGCUUAGAGGUGUCAAUUUCAUCAGGAGUUCGAAAAGUGUGAUUGUCGUCCCAAUAACGCUGCCACUUGGGCUCUAUUUCAUGGAAAGGGUAAGCCCUCUUCUCCACUGGCUGCUUUUGUUUCUGCUUCUGCUCUCGUUCUUCAACUUGAUUCACUUGUUCACUCUCUGAGCUCCUAACUCUACACUUUUUAAACCCAAAACUGUGAAAAUUGAAACUAUAUAGACAUGCUCUUCUUGGGAUGGAAGAAAUUUUCCGGUUGGCACUGCUGGGCUUUGAAGGCAGAGGUUUUUGAGCGGAGAAGUGAAACUUAUGGUGAUGAAAAGGAGAAGAAGGAAGCAUUUGGGUUAGGAUGAAAGCUGGUGCAUUCAUUUUGAAUGCACGUGCAGUGUAAUAGAAAGAGGAUUGUGAGGAGUUUGUGAGAAGAAAUUUCUCUCUUGUUGAUAAUGUUUGGCGCUUUAGAUUUUGUGGUUACUGUUU